This 824-nucleotide ribosomal RNA is filed under the name Salmonella enterica. Its description in RNAcentral is "partial 23S ribosomal RNA". It matches the Rfam family "Bacterial large subunit ribosomal RNA", at positions 711 to 1536 of the family's 2925-position model. Lineage: Bacteria; Pseudomonadati; Pseudomonadota; Gammaproteobacteria; Enterobacterales; Enterobacteriaceae. The record is from RNAcentral.
AGACCCGAAACCCGGUGAUCUAGCCAUGGGCAGGUUGAAGGUUGGGUAACACUAACUGGAGGACCGAACCGACUAAUGUUGAAAAAUUAGCGGAUGACCUGUGGCUGGGGGUGAAAGGCCAAUCAAACCGGGAGAUAGCUGGUUCUCCCCGAAAGCUAUUUAGGUAGCGCCUCGUGAAUUCAUCUCCGGGGGUAGAGCACUGUUUCGGCUAGGGGGCCAUCCCGGCUUACCAACCCGAUGCAAACUGCGAAUACCGGAGAAUGUUAUCACGGGAGACACACGGCGGGUGCUAACGUCCGUCGUGAAGAGGGAAACAACCCAGACCGCCAGCUAAGGUCCCAAAGUCAUGGUUAAGUGGGAAACGAUGUGGGAAGGCCCAGACAGCCAGGAUGUUGGCUUAGAAGCAGCCAUCAUUUAAAGAAAGCGUAAUAGCUCACUGGUCGAGUCGGCCUGCGCGGAAGAUGUAACGGGGCUAAACCAUGCACCGAAGCUGCGGCAGCGACACUGUGUGUUGUUGGGUAGGGGAGCGUUCUGUAAGCCUGUGAAGGUGUGUCGUGAGGCAUGCUGGAGGUAUCAGAAGUGCGAAUGCUGACAUAAGUAACGAUAAAGCGGGUGAAAAGCCCGCUCGCCGGAAGACCAAGGGUUCCUGUCCAACGUUAAUCGGGGCAGGGUGAGUCGACCCCUAAGGCGAGGCCGAAAGGCGUAGUCGAUGGGAAACGGGUUAAUAUUCCCGUACUUGGUGUUACUGCGAAGGGGGGACGGAGAAGGCUAUGUUGGCCGGGCGACGGUUGUCCCGGUUUAAGCGUGUAGGUGUGUGUUCCAGG